This 478-nucleotide ribosomal RNA is filed under the name uncultured bacterium. RNAcentral's name for it is "SSU rRNA". It matches the Rfam family "Bacterial small subunit ribosomal RNA", at positions 27 to 518 of the family's 1533-position model. The record is from RNAcentral.
GGGACGAACGCUGGCGGCGUGCUUAACACAUGCAAGUCGAGCGAGGCCCCUCCUUCGGGAGGGUGUCCUAGCGGCGAACGGGUGAGUAACACGUGGGCAACCUGCCCUCAGCUCUGGGAUAACCCCGGGAAACCGGGGCUAAUACCGGAUACGACCUCCUUAGGCAUCUGAGGUGGUGAAAAGUUUUUCGGCUGAGGAUGGGCCCGCGGCCUAUCAGCUUGUUGGUGGGGUGAUGGCCUACCAAGGCGACGACGGGUAGCCGGCCUGAGAGGGUGACCGGCCACACUGGGACUGAGACACGGCCCAGACUCCUACGGGAGGCAGCAGUGGGGAAUAUUGCGCAAUGGGCGAAAGCCUGACGCAGCGACGCCGCGUGAGGGACGAAGGCCUUCGGGUUGUAAACCGUCUUUCAGCAGGGACGAAGCGAAGUGACGGUACCUGCAGAAGAAGCACCGGCCAACUACGUGCCAGCAGCCGC